RNAcentral lists this long non-coding RNA (1419 nucleotides) under Mus musculus (house mouse). RNAcentral's name for it is "long non-coding RNA chr18:68028474-68029893". Lineage: Eukaryota; Metazoa; Chordata; Mammalia; Rodentia; Muridae. The record is from RNAcentral.
GCUUCUGCUGGACUCUUCUUCCUUCCGCCUUGACCUUCAUUCCUCAUCUCCUAGUCUAAGGUUUCUGAGUGUCCUUUGCUCUUUCCUUCUGGGAUAACGGCUUCCAGAUGGGUUUGCUCUUCAGUUUGGCUUGGCUCGGCUUGUUUUGGUUUAUGUCAUCUGAAGUGCAUAGUCAGAGAAACAUAACUAAAGUCUAAAGAAUUCUUUAAAAUUUUCUUUUCCUAUUUUUACAGUUUUGUUUGAAGGUUUCCCAGAGUUAGGCUUCCGGUGAAGAAAUGAUUUCUUAUGAGCUAUAGGCUCUGGAAACAGAGAUUCUGCCCUUGGGUAUUUUGUGGUCAUAGUCAAGUUUUAAAAAUCAGUCCCUUCCUCUGAACAGCUGGGAGAAUGGUACUUCUGCCCCUCAAAGAGUUGCUCUAAGGCUAAGAAAUUAGAAGCUAUGACUGUUACUGGGGAUGACAUAAGAUUAAUAAAACUGUUCUUAUUUUAUAUUUCAAAUAUGUUCAUCCAUCCUUACACUGAACUGCUGAAUCAACACAAGUUUAGUGGAUCAUUCGUGUAUGCCAGAACAUUAAAUGGAUGGACAUAUAUGCAAAUGUGAUCCCAUCUCACCGUCACAGUGUCACAAAGUGACAGACUUGAACAUAGUUUAGAGUAACAUGGCCAAGUGUGACUCAUAGGGCCUCCAAUGGUCCACAGAUCCACCCUUCACUUGAGAGGGUAUCUUGUGUCCUGACUGCAGUCCUGGAGGUAUGGGUCUUUCACAAGCAGCUCUACUAUCCCUCAAGUUUUGGCUUUCACAGACUCUGAGGGACUGUUGAGUCUUUCUACAGUGGUGUCACCAUCCCUUGCCCUAACCAGCCAAGAUAACAUUUACUCCAGUGCUAUCUGCAGAUUGCCCCUGACAGAGUGGUGCUUCCUCCCAGUUUAUUAUGGGGAGAUUUCACAGGGAUACAACGUCUUAGUCACUGUAACCACUCACUGAUGAUGCCAUUGGAGUUUUGUGGUGAGUUAGCCUGGAUGUGGAGAAUAUUAUGUCUGUAACUUUCAGGACUGGAAGAGGUCUAGUCUACAUUUUGAGGUUGCUUUGUGCAGAAUUCCCAUGGGAUUGUUCAGCUGUUCAUUUGACUCAUCUGGAGAAUAAUGAGAAAAUCCAUAGGAAUAUUUAUAUGCUCAUUAGAACCAUAAGAGGUUUUUUUUUUCUUUUCUUUUUCUUUCUUUCUUUUCUUUUUUUUUUUUUUUUUGUUAGGUUUGGGUUCGCCACUGUGGCACAUGUCUGUGGUCCUCAGUAGCUGGAGAGGUGGAGGUUGUAGAGUCAUUUGAGUCAAUAAGUUCCAGAUGGGGCGUGCUAGUGGGGACUCCUGCCUAAAUCUAGCUGCCUGUCUUUCAGUUACUGUUAACCCUUCUCAUAAACAAUCGAUC